GAAAUGCGAUAAGUAAUGUGAAUUGCAGGAUUCGUGAAUCAUCAAAUGUUUGAACGCAUAUUGCACCAGGGAUUACUCUCUGGUAUGCCUGUUUGAGUGUCACCUUUUUAUUAUUCAUUUAUUCUCAUCAUCUGAGAACAAAUAAUAUUGGUUUUCACACAUGUGUGUGUCAACUUAAGAAUAGGUGUAUAUUCAGAAAUUUAUUCCAUAACGAUUUAUGUAUUAUGUGAGAAAAAUGAAUCAAAAAUGAUACAUUCACACUGAUAUUUGUUAUGAGAAUCUAAUUUCUAUAUGAAAGAACACUAUUAAAUAAUGGUGUAUUUUUUAACAUUCGGACCUCAAAUCAGGUAGCAUUACCCGCUGAAUUUAA
This 370-nucleotide unclassified non-coding RNA is filed under the name uncultured fungus. RNAcentral's name for it is "sequence contains ITS1". The stretch from base 1 to 102 matches the Rfam family "5.8S ribosomal RNA", at positions 50 to 154 of the family's 154-position model. Lineage: Eukaryota; Fungi. The record is from RNAcentral.